GACGUAGGGCGCGAGCGUUGUCCGGAUUUAUUGGGCGUAAAGAGCUCGUAGGCGGCUUGUCGCGUCGUCCGUGAAAACUUGGGGCUCAACCCCAAGCUUGCGGUCGAUACGGGCAGGCUCGAGUUCGGUAGGGGAGACUGGAAUUCCUGGUGUAGCGGUGAAAUGCGCAGAUAUCAGGAGGAACACCGGUGGCGAAGGCGGGUCUCUGGGCCGAUACUGACGCUGAGGAGCGAAAGCGUGGGGAGCGAACAGG
RNAcentral lists this ribosomal RNA (253 nucleotides) under uncultured bacterium. RNAcentral's name for it is "partial 16S ribosomal RNA". It matches the Rfam family "Bacterial small subunit ribosomal RNA", at positions 524 to 776 of the family's 1533-position model. The record is from RNAcentral.